UACGGAGGGGGCUAGCGUUGUUCGGAAUUACUGGGCGUAAAGCGCACGUAGGCGGAUUAUUAAGUCGGGGGUGAAAUCCCGGGGCUCAACCCCGGAACUGCCUUCGAUACUGGUAGUCUAGAGGUCGAGAGAGGUGAGUGGAAUUCCGAGUGUAGAGGUGAAAUUCGUAGAUAUUCGGAGGAACACCAGUGGCGAAGGCGGCUCACUGGCUCGAUACUGACGCUGAGGUGCGAAAGCGUGGGGAGCAAACAGG
This 253-nucleotide ribosomal RNA is filed under the name uncultured bacterium. Its description in RNAcentral is "partial 16S ribosomal RNA". It matches the Rfam family "Bacterial small subunit ribosomal RNA", at positions 524 to 776 of the family's 1533-position model. The record is from RNAcentral.